CCUACGGGGGGCUGCAGUGGGGGAUAUUUGGCAAUGGGCGCAAGCCUGACCCAGCAACGCCGCGUGAAGGAAGAAGGCUUUCGGGUUGUAAACUUCUGUUGACAGGGACGAGCAUAACACGGUACCUGUCGAAUAACCCACGUCUAACUACGUGCCAGCAGCCGCGGUAAUACGGAGGUGGCAAGCGUUGUCCGUAUUUACUGGGUGUAAAGGUCGUGUAGCCGGGCUGACAAGUCAGAUGUGAAAUCCGGGGGCUCAACCCCCGAACUGCAUUUGAAACUGUUGGUCUUGAGUAUCGGAGAGGCAGGCGGAAUUCCUAGUGUAGCGGUGAAAUGCGUAGAUAUUAGGAGGAACACCAGUGGCGAAGGCGGCCUGCUGGACGACAACUGACGGUGAGGCGCGAAAGCGUGGGGAGCAAACAGGAUUAGAUACCCCGGUAGUC
RNAcentral lists this ribosomal RNA (442 nucleotides) under uncultured bacterium. RNAcentral's name for it is "partial 16S ribosomal RNA". It matches the Rfam family "Bacterial small subunit ribosomal RNA", at positions 338 to 795 of the family's 1533-position model. The record is from RNAcentral.